RNAcentral lists this ribosomal RNA (297 nucleotides) under uncultured bacterium. Its description in RNAcentral is "partial 16S ribosomal RNA". It matches the Rfam family "Bacterial small subunit ribosomal RNA", at positions 28 to 326 of the family's 1533-position model. The record is from RNAcentral.
GACGAACGCUGGCGGCGUGCUUAACACAUGCAAGUCGAGCGGUAAGGCCCUUUCGGGGGUACACGAGCGGCGAACGGGUGAGUAACACGUGGGUGACCUGCCCUCAGCUCUGGGAUAAGCCUGGGAAACCGGGUCUAAUACUGGAUAUGACUCCAUGACGCAUGUUGUGGGGUGGAAAGCCUUGUGCGGCUGAGGAUGGGCCCGCGGCCUAUCAGCUUGUUGGUGGGGUGANGGCCUACCAAGGCGACGACGGGUAGCCGGCCUGAGAGGGCGACCGGCCACACUGGGACUGAGACA